UACGAAGGGGGCUAGCGUUGCUCGGAAUGACUGGGCGUAAAGGGCGCGUAGGCGGUUCACGCAGUCAGAUGUGAAAUUCCUGGGCUCAACCUGGGGCUGCAUUGAUACGCGUGGACUGGAGUGGGGAAGAGGGUCGUGGAAUUCCCAGUGUAGAGGUGAAAUUCGUAGAUAUUGGGAAGAACACCGGUGGCGAAGGCGGCGACCUGGUCCUUGACUGACGCUGAGGCGCGAAGCGUGGGGAGCAAACAGG
This 250-nucleotide ribosomal RNA is filed under the name uncultured bacterium. RNAcentral's name for it is "partial 16S ribosomal RNA". It matches the Rfam family "Bacterial small subunit ribosomal RNA", at positions 524 to 776 of the family's 1533-position model. The record is from RNAcentral.